ACACGACUACAUUAGACUACCCCCGUAGUCCCAGACCGUAAACUAUGCGCGUUAGGUGUACUGGUGACCGCGAGUCGACCGGGGUGCCGAAGGGAAACCGUAGAAACGUGCCGCCGUGGGAAGUACGGUCGCAAGGCUAGAAACUUAAAGGAAUUGGCGGGGAGCACCACAACGGGUGGAGCCUGCGGUUUAAUUGGACUCAACGCCGGAAAUCUCACCGGAUAGGACAGACAUAUGAUAGUCGGGCUGAAGACUCUACUUGAUGAUCUG
RNAcentral lists this ribosomal RNA (270 nucleotides) under uncultured archaeon. Its description in RNAcentral is "partial 16S ribosomal RNA". It matches the Rfam family "Archaeal small subunit ribosomal RNA", at positions 717 to 982 of the family's 1478-position model. The record is from RNAcentral.